RNAcentral lists this ribosomal RNA (405 nucleotides) under uncultured bacterium. RNAcentral's name for it is "bacterial SSU rRNA". It matches the Rfam family "Bacterial small subunit ribosomal RNA", at positions 29 to 417 of the family's 1533-position model. The record is from RNAcentral.
AACGAACGCUGGCGGCGUGCCUAACACAUGCAAGUCGUGCGAGAAAGUUCCUUCGGGAGCGAGUAAAGCGGCGCACGGGUGAGUAACACGUAGGUAACCUGCCCCCCAGUCUGGAACAACUAGAGGAAACUCUAGCUAAUGCCGGAUGAGACCACGAUCCCUUCGGGGGUUGCGGCCAAAAAUGGCCUCUACUUGUAAGCUAUCGCUGAGGGAUGGGCCUGCGGGCCAUUAGCUUGUUGGUGAGGUAACGGCUCACCAAGGCUGUGAUGGCUAGCUGGUCUGAGAGGAUGACCAGCCACACUGGGACUGAGACACGGCCCAGACUCCUACGGGAGGCAGCAGUGGGGAAUAUUGCGCAAUGGGCGAAAGCCUGACGCAGCGACGCCGCGUGGGUGAUGAAGGCCU